UGGGCGUGUACUUUUUCCUAUCUAUAGGUC
Molecule: non-coding RNA, 30 nt
Filed under: Rattus norvegicus (Norway rat)
Lineage: Eukaryota; Metazoa; Chordata; Mammalia; Rodentia; Muridae
Source: RNAcentral